UCCGGUUUGUCACCGGCAGUCUCAUUAGAGUGCUCAACUGAAUGUAGCAACUAAGGACGGGGGUUGCGCUCGUUGCGGGACUUAACCCAACAUCUCACGACACGAGCUGACGACAGCCAUGCAGCACCUGUCUCCGGUCCGGCCGAACUGAAGGAAUCCAUCUCUGGAAACCGCGACCGGGAUGUCAAGGGCUGGUAAGGUUCUUCGCGUUGCCUCGAAUUAAACCACACGCUCCGCUGCUUGUGCGGGCCCCCGCCUAUUCCUUUGAGUUUUAACCUUGCGGCCGUAGUCCCCAGGCGGUGAACUUAAUGCGUUAGCUGCGGCACUGAUCGGGUCAAUCCGACCAACACCUAGUUCACAACGUUUAGGACGUGGACUAC
RNAcentral lists this unclassified non-coding RNA (380 nucleotides) under uncultured bacterium. RNAcentral's name for it is "contains 16S-23S intergenic spacer region". The record is from RNAcentral.